UUAUUAGGCAAAAAUAUUUACCACAGUAUACUGUGGAAGUACAAAUCUAAUAGCUCUAACAUCCAACUGACUCUAAUCUGUGUGGAUGGAAUUAUACUUAAUGAAGACUACACUCUUCCUACUAUUUAUGCUCUCAUUUUGUCAACAGUUUCUAGCUAGCGAUAUGUAUAAACAACAGAGCUAAGUUCUCCAUCAAGAUCUGCAACUAUCUUUUGUAGCAUUGGGUGAUCUCUUCCGGCUCGUAAAUGAUCAACAAUUUACUUCUCUUCAAGUUGAGAGGAUAGGUAUCAUGUUUGAAGAAUAGCUUCUGAUGAUGAAAAAGAUGACUAAAUAAGAGCACCCCAUAGAGUAGCAGGACUUUCGCUGCAUUUAGCGUGUACUUGCUUGAUUCUUUCGACUGAUUUGCAGAUUCCACUGCAG
Molecule: unclassified non-coding RNA, 420 nt
Filed under: Hevea brasiliensis (rubber tree)
Lineage: Eukaryota; Viridiplantae; Streptophyta; Magnoliopsida; Malpighiales; Euphorbiaceae
Source: RNAcentral